This 422-nucleotide ribosomal RNA is filed under the name uncultured bacterium. RNAcentral describes it as "bacterial SSU rRNA". It matches the Rfam family "Bacterial small subunit ribosomal RNA", at positions 8 to 443 of the family's 1533-position model. The record is from RNAcentral.
AGAGUUUGAUCCUGGCUCAGAAUCAACGCUGGCGGCGCGCUUAACACAUGCAAGUCGCACGAGAAAGUGGAGCAAUCCAUGAGUAAAGUGGCGUACGGGUGAGUAACACGUGGAUCAUCUACCUCUUAGUGGGGAAUAACCCUGGGAAACCGGGGCUAAUACCGCAUAAGCCUGAGAAGGGAAAGCAGCAAUGCGCUGAGAGAGGAGUCCGCGGCCGAUUAGCUAGUUGGUAGGGUAAAGGCCUACCAAGGCAAUGAUCGGUAGCCGGCCUGAGAGGGCACACGGCCACACUGGCACUGAAACACGGGCCAGACUCCUACGGGAGGCAGCAGUGGGGAAUCUUGCACUAAUGGAGGAAACUCUGAUGCAGCGACGCCGCGUGAGCGAUGAAGCCCUUCGGGGUGUAAAGCUCUUUCGACGGG